RNAcentral lists this ribosomal RNA (254 nucleotides) under uncultured bacterium. Its description in RNAcentral is "partial 16S ribosomal RNA". It matches the Rfam family "Bacterial small subunit ribosomal RNA", at positions 524 to 776 of the family's 1533-position model. The record is from RNAcentral.
UACGGAGGUGGCGAGCGUUGUCCGAAGUUACUGGGCGUAAAGCGCGCGUAGGCGGGGGAUUAAGUGAGAAGUGAAAGGCUGGGGCUCAACUCCAUGCAGUGCUUCUCAUACUGGUCUUCUUGAGGGGGGUAGAGAGAAGUGGAAUGGCUGGUGUAGCGGUGAAAUGCGUAGAGAUCGGGAGGAACACCAGAGGCGAAGGCGGCGACCUGGACAAGUACUGACACUCAACUACGAAAGCGUGGGGAGCAAACAGG